RNAcentral lists this ribosomal RNA (222 nucleotides) under uncultured Glomeromycotina. RNAcentral's name for it is "partial 18S ribosomal RNA". The stretch from base 45 to 222 matches the Rfam family "Eukaryotic small subunit ribosomal RNA", at positions 693 to 873 of the family's 1831-position model. The record is from RNAcentral. Lineage: Eukaryota; Fungi; Glomeromycota.
GGACCAAUAUGUCAGUCAUACCUCGGUACGCACUGGCUUAUAGGUUUCUCCCUUCUGACGAACCAUGAUGUCAUUAAUUUGGUGUCUUGGGGAAUCAGGACUGUUACUUUGAAAAAUUAGAGUGUUUAAAGCAGGCUCACGCUUGAAUACAUUAGCAUGGAAUAAUGAAAUAGGACGUUUGAUUCUAUUUUGUUGGUUUCUAGGAUCGACGUAAUGAUUAAU